Molecule: non-coding RNA, 82 nt
Filed under: Candidatus Vecturithrix granuli
Lineage: Bacteria; Candidatus Moduliflexota; Candidatus Vecturitrichia; Candidatus Vecturitrichales; Candidatus Vecturitrichaceae
Description: Bacterium UASB270 c-di-GMP sequence
Rfam family: c-di-GMP-I-GGC riboswitch aptamer
Source: Rfam by way of RNAcentral
GUAGAUAAAGCCAAACCAUUUGUGAAAAUGGGACGGAAAGCCACGGGUCUUAGAAAAAUAUAAGAUAGCCGGGUUGCCAGAG